This 428-nucleotide ribosomal RNA is filed under the name uncultured bacterium. RNAcentral describes it as "bacterial SSU rRNA". It matches the Rfam family "Bacterial small subunit ribosomal RNA", at positions 917 to 1349 of the family's 1533-position model. The record is from RNAcentral.
GGGCCCGCACAAGCGGUGGAGCAUGUGGUUUAAUUCGAUGAUACGCGAGGAACCUUACCAGGGUUUAAAUGCAGAACGACAGGGGUGGAAACACCCCCUUCUUCGGACGGACUGCAAGGUGCUGCAUGGUUGUCGUCAGCUCGUGCUGUGAAGUGUCGGGUUAAGUCCCAUAACGAGCGCAACCCCCAUUUCUAGUUGCCAGCGGUUCGGCCGGGGACUCUAGAGAAACUGCCAGCGUAAGCUGUGAGGAAGGUGGGGAUGACGUCAAAUCAUCACGGCCCUUACAUCCUGGGCCACACACGUGCUACAAUGGUAGGGACAACAGGUUGCCAACCCGCGAGGGUGAGCCAAUCCCAAAACCCUAUCUCAGUUCGGAUCGGAGUCUGCAACUCGACUCCGUGAAGUUGGAAUCGCUAGUAAUCGGAUAU